RNAcentral lists this ribosomal RNA (1311 nucleotides) under Triticum aestivum (bread wheat). RNAcentral's name for it is "partial small subunit ribosomal RNA". The record is from RNAcentral. Lineage: Eukaryota; Viridiplantae; Streptophyta; Magnoliopsida; Poales; Poaceae.
AUGGACCCCUCCGAGCGCCCCGCCGUCGUAUUCGACAACGGCACCGGGUAUAGCAAACUUGGGUUUGCUGGUAACUCCGAGCCGUCUUUCACCAUCCCUACUGUAGUAGCUGUGAAUGAAUCUUUCUUGGACCAAUCAGAGCAGUGCAGUAGUGCAAAUUGGCUAGCACAGUAUAAUGCAGGUGUCAUGGCUGAUCUUGAUUUUUUUAUCGGGGAUGAGGCUCUGUCACAUUUCAAAUCUAGUGGCCUGUACAGUUUAAGAAGCCCAAUUCGUCAUGGUCAGGUGAAUGACUGGGAUACAAUGGAGAGAUUUUGGCAGCAAUCCAUUUUCAAUUAUCUACGGUGCAAUCCUGAGGAACACUACUUCCUACUUACAGAUAGUCCUGUCAGUACGCCGGAAAGUCGUGAAUGUAUGGGAGAAAUUAUGUUUGAGACCUUUAAUGUCCCUGGUCUAUAUAUUUCUGUGCAAUCUGUGCUCAGCCUUUCUGCUGGAUUUGCAUAUCUGAAAAGUCUUUCUGAAGAGGAUUCAGAAGAUUCUGUGUCUGAUAUGACAGGUGUAGUAGUUGACAUUGGGGAUGGAGCUCCACAUAUUGUGCCAGUUGUGAACGGCUAUGUAAUUGGGAGUAGCAUAAAGUCUUUUCCUCUUUCCGGAAGUGAUGUAACUCAGUUUGUUAUGCAGCUCUUACAGGAAAGGGGUGAGCUUCUUCCACCUGAUGAUGCUUUGGAUAUAGCUCGUAGGGUGAAAGAAACGUAUUGCUAUACUCCUUCAGACAUUGUCAAGGAGUUCAAGAAGCAUGACAGCAAGCCUAGUAAAUAUAUCAAACAAUGGUCUGCAAUCAAACCGAAGACUGGGGUUCCAUACACAGUUGACAUUGGAUAUGAGCGUUUUCUUGGACCAGAGAUCUUCUUCCAUCCUGAGAUGUAUUCUCCUGACUUCUCCACUCCUUUACCUGAACUGAUUGACAGCUGUGUUCAAUCUGCGCCAAUUGACACAAGGAGAGCUUUGUAUAAGAACAUAGUAUUAUCUGGUGGAACUACCAUGUUUAAAGACUUCCACAAGAGACUCCAAAAUAAUAUAAAGAAGAUAGUAGACGAACGUGUUGCCGAAACUAAUGCGCGUCAUCGCGUGGAGGUGAAACCUGUUGAGGUCAACGUAGUCACCCAUCCUAUACAGAGCUAUGCAGUUUGGUUUGGGGGUUCUGUAGCUGCAUCCAGCCAUGAAUUCUUCGAGUGCUGCCACACAAAGGAAGAUUACGAGGAGCAUGGAGCAAGCAUCUGCCGAACAAGCACCGUUUUCAAAGGAAUGUACUGA